AGAGUUUGAUCCUGGCUCAGAACGAACGCUGGCGGCGUGCCUAACACAUGCAAGUCGAACGGAGUUGAGGGGCUUGCUUCUCAACUUAGUGGCGCACGGGUGAGUAACGCGUAGAUAAUCUGCCUGAUGAUUUGGGAUAACACUUCGAAAGGGGUGCUAAUACCGAAUAAGCCCACGGAGUCCUUGGACUCAGCGGGAAAAGGGGGGGACCUUCGGGCCUUCCGUCAUCAGAUGAGUCUGCGUACCAUUAGCUAGUUGGUAGGGUAAAGGCCUACCAAGGCGACGAUGGUUAGCUGGUCUGAGAGGAUGAUCAGCCACACUGGAACUGAGACACGGUCCAGACUCCUACGGGAGGCAGCAGUGGGGAAUUUUGCGCAAUGGGGGAAACCCUGACGCAGCAACGCCGCGUGAGUGAUGAAGGCCCUUGGGUCGUAAAGCUCUGACAGAGGGAAAGAAAUGUGGGUGGCUAAUAUCCAUACCACUUGACGGUACCCUCAAAGGAAGCACCGGCUAACUCCGUGCCAGCAGCCGCGGUAAUACGGAGGGUGCGAGCGUUGUUCGGAUUUAUUGGGCGUAAAGCGCGUGUAGGCGGUUUUAUAAGUCUGAUGUGAAAGCCCCGGGCUCAACCUGGGAAGUGCAUUGGAUACUGUAAGACUUGAAUACGGGAGAGGGCAGUGGAAUUCCUAGUGUAGGAGUGAAAUCCGUAGAUAUUAGGAGGAACACCGGUGGCGAAGGCGGCUGCCUGGACCGAUAUUGACGCUGAGACGCGAAAGCGUGGGUAGCAAACAGGAUUAGAUACC
This 800-nucleotide ribosomal RNA is filed under the name uncultured bacterium. RNAcentral's name for it is "bacterial SSU rRNA". It matches the Rfam family "Bacterial small subunit ribosomal RNA", at positions 8 to 786 of the family's 1533-position model. The record is from RNAcentral.